Molecule: microRNA, 21 nt
Filed under: Homo sapiens (human)
Lineage: Eukaryota; Metazoa; Chordata; Mammalia; Primates; Hominidae
Description: hsa-miR-3682-3p
Source: miRBase by way of RNAcentral
UGAUGAUACAGGUGGAGGUAG